RNAcentral lists this ribosomal RNA (913 nucleotides) under uncultured Candidatus Poseidoniales archaeon. Its description in RNAcentral is "SSU rRNA". It matches the Rfam family "Archaeal small subunit ribosomal RNA", at positions 1 to 923 of the family's 1478-position model. Lineage: Archaea; Methanobacteriati; Thermoplasmatota; Candidatus Poseidoniia; Candidatus Poseidoniales. The record is from RNAcentral.
UUCUGGUUGAUCCUGCCAGAGGCGACCGCUAUUGGAGUUCGAUUAAGCCAUGCGAGUCGAGAGCUUUAGGAGCUCGGCAUACUGCUCAGUAACACGUGGAUAACCUGCCCUGUGCUCUGGGAUAACCUCGGGAAACUGAGAAUAAUACCGGAUAGUCCACCACGCCUGGAACGGUGGGUGGAUCAAAGGUCACGGCACAGGAUGGGUCUGCGGCGUAUCAGGUUGUAGGGGGUGUAAAGGACCCCCUAGCCAUUGACGCGUACGGGUUGUGGGAGCAAUCGCCCGGAGAUGGAUUCUGAGACACGAAUCCAGACCCUACGGGGUGCAGCAGGCGCGAAAACUUCACACUGCAGGAAACUGUGAUGAGGGAACUCCAAGUGCAUGCACAAUGUGUAUGCUUUUCCUUACUUUUAAUCGGUUUGGGAAUAAGGGCUGGGAAAGACCGGUGCCAGCCGCCGCGGUAAUACCGGCAGCUCGAGUGGUCGUCGCUUUUAUUGGGCCUAAAACGUCCGUAGCCUGUUUGGUAAAUCUGUGGGUAAAUCAACCAGCUUAACUGGUUGAAUUCUGCAGAGACUGCCAGACUAGGGACCGGGAGAGGUGUGGGGUACUCUCGGGGUAGGGGUAAAAUCCUGUCAUCCUGGGAGGACCACCAGUUGCGAAGGCGCCACACUGGAACGGAUCCGACGGUCAGGGACGAAGCCUAGGGGCACGAACCGGAUUAGAUACCCGGGUAGUCCUAGGAGUAAACGCUGUGAACUUGGUGUCGGGGAUCCUACUUGGGUUCCCGGUGCCGGAGUGAAGAUGUUAAGUUCACUGCCUGGGGAGUACGGUCGCAAGGCUGAAACUUAAAGGAAUUGGCGGGGGAGCACUGCAACGGGAGGAGCGUGCGGUUUAAUUGGACUCAACGCCGGGA